GCGGGGAUGCCGGAGCGGUCAAACGGGGCGGACUCAAGAUCCGCUAGCUUAGUGCUUACCUAGGUUCGAAUCCUAGUCCCCGCA
This 84-nucleotide transfer RNA is filed under the name Candidatus Pacearchaeota archaeon. Its description in RNAcentral is "tRNA-Leu". It matches the Rfam family "tRNA". From Rfam's summary of the family: Transfer RNA (tRNA) molecules are approximately 80 nucleotides in length. Their secondary structure includes four short double-helical elements and three loops (D, anti-codon, and T loops). Lineage: Archaea; Nanobdellati. The record is from RNAcentral.